CCUACGGGAGGCAGCAGUGGGGAAUAUUGGACAAUGGGCGAAAGCCUGAUCCAGCAAUGCCGCGUGAGUGAUGAAGGCCUUAGGGUUGUAAAGCUCUUUUACUAGGGAUGAUAAUGACAGUACCUAGAGAAUAAGCCCCGGCUAACUCCGUGCCAGCAGCCGCGGUAAUACGGAGGGGGCUAGCGUUGUUCGGAAUUACUGGGCGUAAAGAGUACGUAGGCGGUUAUUCAAGUCAGAGGUGAAAGCCUGGAGCUCAACUCCAGAACUGCCUUUGAAACUAGAUAGCUAGAAUCAUGGAGAGGUUAGUGGAAUUCCGAGUGUAGAGGUGAAAUUCGUAGAUAUUCGGAAGAACACCAGUGGCGAAGGCGACUAACUGGACAUGUAUUGACGCUGAGGUACGAAAGCGUGGGGAGCAAACAGGAUUAGAUACCCUGGUAGUCCACGCCGUAAACGAUGAUAACUAGCUGUUCGGGCUACUCAGAGCUUGAGUGGCGCAGCUAACGCAUUAAGUUAUCCGCCUGGGGAUACGGUCGCAAGAUUAAACUUAAAUGAAUUGACGG
RNAcentral lists this ribosomal RNA (560 nucleotides) under uncultured bacterium. Its description in RNAcentral is "bacterial SSU rRNA". It matches the Rfam family "Bacterial small subunit ribosomal RNA", at positions 338 to 916 of the family's 1533-position model. The record is from RNAcentral.